UGCCGGCUAGAAGCCGGAGCUGAGAGGAGGCGGAGAGAUGGCUUCCCAGCCGCCGCCUCCCCCAAAACCCUGGGAAACCCGUCGAAUUCCGGGGGCCGGGCCGGGACCCGGCCCUACUUUCCAUAGGUUUCCUGUUGCCAUUACCUGUUCCCCCAGCACCAAACCCCAAGUGAAAAUCAGAUCUGCUGACUUGGGUCCUACUUUGUUGACAAGACCUGGACAACCAACACUUACUAGAGUGCCCCCACCUAUUCUCCCAAGGCCAUCCCAGCAGACUGGGAGCAGCAGUGUGAACACUUUCAGACCUGCUUACAGUUCAUUUUCUUCUGGCUAUGGUGCUUAUGGAAAUUCAUUUUAUGGAAGCUAUAGCCCUUAUAGUUAUGGAUAUAAUGGGCUGGGCUUUAACCGCCUCCGUAUAGAUGAUCUUCCACCUAGUAGAUUUGUUCAGCAAGCUGAAGAAAGCAGCAGAGGUGCAUUUCAGUCCAUUGAAAGUAUUGUGCAUGCAUUUGCCUCUGUUAGUAUGAUGAUGGAUGCUACCUUUUCAGCUGUCUAUAACAGCUUCAGGGCUGUAUUGGAUGUAGCAAAUCACUUUUCCCGAUUAAAAAUACACUUUACAAAGGUUUUUUCAGCUUUUGCAUUAGUUAGGACUAUAAGAUAUCUUUAUAGACGGAUACAGUGGAUGAUGGGUUUAAGAAGAGGCUCUGAGAAUGAAGACCUGUGGGCAGAAAGUGAAGGAACUGUGGCUUGCCUUGGUGCUGAGGACCAAGGAGCUAACUCAGCAAAAUCUUGGCCAAUAUUCUUGUUCUUUGCUGUUAUCCUUGGUGGUCCGUAUCUCAUCUGGAAACUUCUGUCUACCCACAAUGAUGAAGUAACAGACAAUAUCAACUGGGCAAGUGGAGAGGAUGACCAUGUAGUUGCUAGAGCGGAAUAUGAUUUUGCUGCCGUAUCUGAAGAAGAAAUUUCUUUCCGUGCUGGUGAUAUGUUAAACUUAGCUCUCAAAGGCUCUCCUUAGUUUUCUGCUGAUCUUUGGAUACCUGCUUAGGUUUAAGAGUAAAAGACUGGACAGCUGAUUGAAGGCCUUGAGUAUACAGGGGAGAUGAAAAGAGAUGAAGUUGAAUCAUCAGUCUUCUGUAUUUAACUGGAAGCCAAUGUGGUUUUGUGCAGUCAGAUACCCAGUGCUGUCCAGUUACCUACCCCCGUUCUGUCUUGAACCCACUUCAGCAGGUUUUUGCUCCCGCCAGAAUCACUCGUGUUGAGAUCACCAGUGACUACCAUACUGCUUAUCAAGAGGAUCAGUCUUCAUUCUAAUUGACCUGUUGAGGUGCAUUUGAUCACUCCCUCCUCUGAAUUUUCACUUGGCUUUCAGAAGACCACACUCUACUGGUUUCCUCGCAAUAUCAUUGACCUUUUAUUUACAGGCUUUAUUGCUGUUUUCUCUUCAUAUCCUCUAUCCCUAAAUGUUGGAGGAUCCCAGGUUUUAGAUCUUGGAUUUUUCUGUGCUCACUUCCUUGAUGAUUUCAUCCAGUCUGAUGCCUGUGAAUACUAGAUGUUGUCUGCAAAAAUUUUACUUUCAGUUAUGAUCUGAGAUCCAGAAUCCACCUGCCACUUCAGUAUCUCCACUUUAUAUCUACCAGGCAUCUCACACCUAGUAUGCCUAAAAAUAAUUCCUUUCACCUUCAAAGCCUGUUCCUUCCCCCACUCUUUCUCUAUCUGUAAAUGGAAACUGUAUCUUUCUACUUGUACUUGCCAGAGACUUUGGAAUUUAGAAAGUUGGAAAGGCAUAAUUACAGGGGAAAAAGCUUAAUAAACCAGCAACCAUGUAUAUUUCAUCUUUCAUUUUGCUGCAGAUCCUUAAGUUGAAAUGGCCAUUUGGAAACUUCUGCUUUAAGAUCUAGGGAGAUCCCUAAGAGCCUUCUGACUCAUCAGAGAAAUGGCAGAUCAAUUUAUAAUGUGUAUCUUCAUAUACAUUUUGUAGACCAUGGUAAUAUUCUUAGAAAUUCCUUGAAAAUUGGCCAAUCGCAUACAUGAUACAUGC
Castor canadensis (American beaver) is the source of this 2035-nucleotide non-coding RNA. The record is from RefSeq and is a predicted model, not a curated record. Lineage: Eukaryota; Metazoa; Chordata; Mammalia; Rodentia; Castoridae.